This 331-nucleotide long non-coding RNA is filed under the name Hordeum vulgare. RNAcentral's name for it is "long non-coding RNA (HVUL_LNC014789)". Lineage: Eukaryota; Viridiplantae; Streptophyta; Magnoliopsida; Poales; Poaceae. The record is from RNAcentral.
ACCAUGUUAAAAUUUGAGUCCUUAAGCUCGAGGAAGUGAUCUACCAUCUUUACCAAAAAAAGUAGUGCCCCCAAUGGAAUUUUAGAUGGAUAAUAUUUUUUGCUCGUUUGAAAUGGUUCACGGUUCUUUUAUUUGAUGCACAAAUCUUGAAGGCCCACAAUUCUUCUUCUUCUUCUUCUUCUUCUUCUUCUUCUUCUUCUUAGUCUUCUUAGUCUUCUUCUUCUUCUUCUUCUUCUUCUUCUCCUCCUCCUCCUCCUCCUUCUUCUUCUUCUUCUUCUUAGGCUUCUUCUUCUUCUUCUUAUUAUUAUUAUUAUUAUUAUUAUUAUUAUUA